Molecule: long non-coding RNA, 7010 nt
Organism: Numida meleagris (helmeted guineafowl)
Lineage: Eukaryota; Metazoa; Chordata; Aves; Galliformes; Numididae
Exons: 5
Source: RefSeq, a predicted model, not a curated record
UUCCUGUUGCUCUGGAGACCAGUGAGGUUGACAGGAAUGAACCCACAGUAGAACCACAGUAGUUAGUGAGGGCACCAACUACAAGGACCCUUUUGUUUGUCCCAUCAUCAUGCCCUCUGGCUGCUUUCCUGGUGGACUUUUACAUCUCUUGCAGCCUUGCUGACCUUCCUCUGGACUCAUUGUGCAGCUGUGCAACGCCAAGGUCACAGUCGAAAGAUGUCUCCGAUGAAGAUUUGGCUGUGCAAAUGAGCAAGCUGCUUGUGAAGAAAGUUCUACCUGAAACAGUCCCUCUGAUGACGCCACGAAUCUGGGAAUGAAGAACUUCUCUGAGCUGAUUGGAAAUGGCAUUGCGGAGCUGAAACUUAACUGCAGGAAAAAUAUCUCCUGAAGAAGGAAAUAUAAUGCACUUUAAAGAUCUGACUUCUGGUGAAAAAUUCAAGCCUAGAGAAAACUUGUCCGCUUUGUUAGGAAGAAUGGGUUGGACAAUUUUCUUCAGUUCCACAGGAUAUCUGAGUGCCAUGCUGAGCUUGAUCUCUGCAGCAUGCUCUGUGCUUCUCAUCUCUUCCUGAUGCACUGCAUGGUCAGCUCUUUAAUUGCAAGCUCCCUGAAGGGCCAUCUUCAGCACUACCCCUUGCAUAGCCCUAUAUUGCUGACACUGAACAGCAGUUCCUACCAGCUCUAUGGUAGAUAUUAUCCUGAAGGGGAGGAUAAAGAAACUGGCCACCAAGAUGGUAAUCACUAGUGGAAAUGAAGAAGAUAAAGGCAGUCAAGAAAAGGAAAGCAAAGAAGAAACCAUCUUGGCCAUGCUUGGAAUCAUUGGGACAAUUCUGAACCUCAUUGUGAUCAUUUUUGUGUACAUUUACACAACGUUGUAAACUAGCAGGCAUGCAAAUAGAACAGAUAAAACGGCCAUUAAGAGUGACAACAAACAUUGCUGACUAUUGACAAGUUGUUUAAUCAGAAUUGACUCUGUAUUAUAUUAACACAUCAUAAAAGCACUGCCUGCAGGCAGCGAAGGCUGAAGCACAAUUAAUUUAACAAGACUUCUUCAUGCAGUAACAAGCUAAACUCUUCUGUCCUGCCCUCUUCCUUUCGCUUUGGUUUUCAGUUUGGGGGAAAUAUGACUGCAAUUAUUUAAGUUCUAGCCUUGAAGAAAUCCACCUGGGUUAUGUUGUUUUAACACAAUUUAAAAGAGAGAAAAAAGAAAAAAAAAAAAAAAGAAAAAAGAAACUGUACACUAUAUACAACUAAAAAAUGUAUACUGUAUACCUGCAAAGAUUGAACUCUGAGAUAGCUACAUAGCACAGAUCACGUAUCCAUUAGGUCAAAUGAUAUUUUUUCUCUUGGUUUAUGCUUUUACUUACAUUGGAUCUGACAAGCUUUUUGUUUAGAAUGAACAUAUGGUGCAAUCAUGAAAAAAACAAUUCUAUUGAGCAAGAUCUGCCUAAAACUGAUAAGAUGUUGGGAGAAAUAUGGUAUGUGGUUAUUUUAACUUUCUCAUUUGCUUAACAUCUGUGUCUGUUCAUACCAAUGUUUAUAAAUAUAUAUUUUUAAUAAAUGUGCUAUAUUUUUAGCAUGAACCAAACAUUUGGCGAUGCUUGUAUUCAUGCAGCUAGAUUUUGUUGGAUUGAAGUGCCCUUUUUGACAAUGGAUGUUGUUCUUCUCAGCAAUUAUACAGUAGUCUUGUUUGCAGCCCUCUCGCUGUAGUCUGCAGCAAGCUCACAUCAUGCUCAUAUGCAUGACUUGAAGUUGGAAUGUCAGCUGAAAAGCAUUGCUGCCUAAUACGGGAAAUAGCAAAACAUCGUAAGGUGACCUUUGGAGACUGGUUGCAGAAAGAAGGUUCUAUUUAUAGUUUGAAACAAAAAGUGAAUGGAAGGAAUUUUGAGGCAUCUCUCAAGAUAUUACAAAAUUCACAGAAUGUAUGGCUUUCAGAAUCUGGUUGCGCUCUCUAAAGGCUUAUAGUGAGAGAAGCAAACAGAGUUAAGCAGUUGGAAAGAGAAAUGUAAAGAGCCUGUAGAGAGGAGCUUAUGAGAAAUCUAGUCUAUAAGCACAGGGUAUAUUUCAAAUGUGAGAAUGAUUAACCCUUCACACACGCUUCUCUGACUUAUGCUUUAAAUGGUGUCGGUACAGUGAAAUUUUCUGAUUUGUAUUUUUGGCACAUAACAUAAAGAGGCACGGAACAUAAAGAGGAUGAUCACCAUUUUGCAUCAGAGUUCAGUAUCUAUCAGCAUAUGAAGCACUAAAAAUAUGAGACCUCAACUCUGUUUCAAGCUGCCUAAGUAGUUCCCCACUAACUCUGACAUGUCUUCUGAAAAAAAUAGGUUAAUUACUUGUUUGCUGACUUUUGACUUGAAUUAUGUCCUCAGAUGAACAGGGGGAUUGUGUUGAAGUCAGUUGGAAUUGUUAAAAGUCUCCUCCUAGAGUCUCAGGAAUUAUAGUGAUCAGUCCUGUGCCUCUGGAACCAGUAAUGAGCCUCUCACUGGGUUCCAGGUGGCUGGGGCUGAUCUCACAAAUACAGAACUUCACUGUAAGAUAAAAUAAAAGCAAGCCUGGGAAAGCCUCAGGGAGGCUUCUCAUAAAAGAGGUAUUUAGUCUCUGGUGUAUCACACAGUCAAUAACAAACCAUCAGGAGAAGGGAAAAGGUCAGUGAGUAAAUUAAAAUGAAAUCCAAUAUGAAGACUGAAGGAAGAAAGAGCAAAAAUAAUCUCAUGUUUAUGAAAAAAAAUGACAGAGUGAGAGAAGUGAGAUUUGAAAAAGCAGAGAGCAAUGCAGAAGGUGCCAGGCAUUGCAGAGUGGUUGAAGAAACAUUCGUUGUGGUUACACUCUGCAGGUAGAGCCACGGAUCUUGGGGAGAGUGAGAAACUUUAGUGGCACAGAUCAGUAGAAGUGAAUGAAGCUGAUCUUGCUUUUGGGUUUUUUUUGCAUGCUUUUUUCUUGUUCGGUUGUCUUUGUUGUUUUUUUGUUGCUGUUGUCAUUUUGCUUGGAUAAUUUGGAAAAUUAGCAAAUUCAGCUUUUUUUUUUUUCAGCCUGAAUGAGAAGAAAAUGGCUAAAAUACAUUUGCUUCCAUCUUGUAGCUUUCUUUUAGUGAAGGUAUUGCUGAUUGCAGCAUGGGGCAAUGGCACUGUCCCCAUUCCCCGCAGCACAGCUGCACUUACUGCGAAUACCUUGCUCUCUCCAGCUGCCCUUCAGAUUGUGAUGGUCCUCUGCAGAUGUUUUGCGAAAGCCUCCCAUUCUCCAGCAACUACCGCAGCAAUCUGAGUCUCAUCCCCAUCUUCUAGAGGGAAAGGGCAGUGUCAGGGUUGGGAGAUGAGCUCUGCUGCCUCAUAUUUCUUUGCCUCUCCAUGCACAAAGUGACAAUACCUGUCAUCUUCUUGUGGGCAUGAAGAUGCUUAAGAAUAAAUGCCCAUUAAGUUCUUCUAUUAAUGUUAGAAAUAAACCUCUACUCUGCAAAACAAAUAACACCCCUACACCACAAGUAGAGUAGAAAUGUUUGCUGUUCAUUGCUUUGUGCUCCUCCAGACAUAGGCCAGGACCUUCACCAAAGCAGGCACUGCAAAAAGCCCAAGUGUGCUUAAGCUGAACUGGUAGAUCAAAAAUCCUAAGGAAACAGUAUUCACCCUUCUUUUCUCAGCAGCAGACCAGACAGGGGAUGAGUUUCCAGCUGUGGGUGAGCGGAUCUUUGCCUUAAAGGAUCUUGUAUGCUUCACAUCUGCUGCGCAACCAGGCGCCUUCCAACAGCUAUGUGCCACAAGUCUUGCUGCGGUGCUUUUAUUGCACGCUGCAGCAUGAAAAAAGCUUUAUCCCCAUCCAUAAAAUGUUUAACACUUAAUAUUUUAAUUUUACUGGUUUCUGUUCACAGAUAUUUCUAGAAAUAUCCUGGGGCAAGUACUUCUUAAGUAGAUUCAUUAAGUAUUCAUUUAAAUAAAAAUGAAGAGUUUCCUUUGAGGGCAAUUCCUUUACCUUUUAUUUGGCUGUCAUGAACACUGAUAUGGGGAAAGUAUGCUUUCAAGAAUGACCGUGGAAGGGAAACAUUUUGUACAAGAGCCUGAACAUGUGUCUUCCCAGGCAGAUGCACAAAGGCCUGGUUUCGGCUAAAUGCCAGCUGCAGACAAAUUACCCUCAUGCUUUUUUACAUGAGUGGUUGUCAGCAUGCACCUGUAAGAAAUAUUCAACUAGGUAUCACAUAUAUCACGGAUUCCUUAUCAUCAGUAACUGCAGUAACUGUUGAAUAAAACUUCUAUUUACAAGUGCUGAAUAGUAAAUCUGCUUUGGCAAGGAAAAAGCCAAUAGUCUGAUUCCUGACUUGACUCAUAGGUGAUGCAAAGAGUUUCCAAAGUCUUCUUGUAUUAAAUAUUACCACAUUAGUGAUGGGAAUCUUCAUGUUUCCAUUUGAGUAGAAGAAAAUGAAAAUUCAAUACUGUAAUAAGAAACCAGAACAACAGUUUUAGCUCUUGUAAAUUGAGGAUACCCAUGUAUUUUUCAGUUGUCCUAUAUAGUCUGAUAGUUUGCAUUAUGGAAAUGAAGAAUGUUUUCCUGAGGUGAAAGGAAGUUGUGUUUCUCCCUGUUAGUGCCUUGCAUGCUUUUAGCACAACCAAGUGAGUACAGAAGAAUCUGAGAAGGAAAAAAAUUGUUCAAAGCCCAUCAUGGAUACAGCCAAGUGAGAAGGAAGAAGAGUAGGCUGCUGUUCUCAACUGUCGCUCCUGUAGCUGCUACUAAAAAAAUCACCAUCUCAGGAGUAUACCUUCUCACACAUCAUUUGGACAGGCAUCUCUUGCCCCUUCCCCUUACAGCACUGGCUGGUUGCAGCUGGGGACAGGACUUUAAGACGCUGAGCCUGGAAGACUCUGCAAUUCUAGAAGCUGCUAUUCUGGUUUACUGGGUGUAGCAGAAAUGCUGUCAUGGCUUGAACCAGAGAUGAGCACCUGGUAGGAAGGCAGGGCCAAGCCACGGGAGCUCAGGUGCAUGCAAUGCCCCUGAGUGACCAGAAGGGGUGGAGCCAGGAUCCACCCCUUCCCAGACCUCAUUUAAGGGUUGGCAGUAGAAGCAAGGAUAUCUUGCUAGAGAUCCUUGUAUGCCUGAGGCCUUCCAGAGGUAAGCAGCUUCUUUGCUUUAUUUCUGUGCCUGUGGUUGUUGCAUUUAAGCAAAUCCUUGCUUGCUGCAGCCUAGGAUCUCACUGCUCUGCUGUUAUUGUUGUGCUUUCCAUCAUGAUACAACUGGGUACAUGAGUCUAAUGUGGGGUAGUCCUAUUAUUUUUAGUAUAGUCAGUAAUCCUCUUCACUUUAGUACCUGAUAAUUUAAAGGAUUCUUGGCUGGUUGAGUUCCCUUUCUCACUCCCCUCUUCUGUCCUUCAGGUACAGUUCUGUUUCAUUAGGCACCCAAAUACUAAAAAACCUCUGUCACAUCAUCAUGACAAAUAUGUAGUGUGGAGCACUGAUGAAGUUUAAGUGUCGUAUACUUCUGCUUCAACCAUAUCCUGGAGCUCACCCCAAACACCUCAAGGUCUCACCUGUGCAUGUCAGAAGGUGUUGUCAUUUCUAAACAAGAACCUGAUAUCUCAGAGCAUGCUGUGAUAUAUGCAAGGAAUGGAGUUAAGGAGUAACUGGAUUAAAACUGCAGGGAGGUAGCACAGCAGAAUUUUCUAAUUAAUUGUUUAGAGGCUUGGCUGGAAUACUUAGUUUCUGGCUACCUAGCAUUUUUGAGGAAAAUAUAUAAUUUGUUCUUAGAAGAAACAUAUCUAAAUUAAAUAAAGAAGGAACCUUGCUGCAAAAGUUUCAGCAGCAGUUUCUAUCAGCAGCCUUCCAAAGCAAACAUGACCCAGAAUCCAAGUCUCUCUGGCUUGCUUCCCAGGAGAAGUUUUUGGCAGCCCAGUAGAACGCUGCAUGAAGAUGGAAGCACCUCUUGCGCAAAGAGAGGGUUGGCCUUCUUUGGAGCAGUAUUCACAAGUCUACAAAUAAUUACAAGGAUGUAAGGAAUGGCACAAGUGCUGUUCACCUCUAUUACCAGCAGAUACCUGCACUGCUUCCAUUUACAUUUUGGAGGCUCUUAAACUCGGUGCAGAUUUUAUUCCCCACUAGUGAUCUAAGAGAAACAAAACCUGUGCUGUACAGAAACCUCAUGCCAGCUUUAAGUAAUGAGUGUAUCCACAUACAUUUGUCUACAUUCAAACCAUCUGGAAGCCACUAAGAUGCUCCUUGUUUUAAUCAUUAGGAUUGCUUAUUUGCAUUUCACCUGGGGGGCUCAGAUGGUGAAGGGCAACUUGUAGGGCUGAAAGUACCCAAAUGUUUCCAGAAAUGCUACUUUACAGGAUGUAGCUCUUAUCUCAGAAUGUUCCUGUUCACACCGAAAUACACCGUGAUCAUGGCACAUGACACUCCAUGGGUAGUGUCUCUCUAACUGACUGUAUCUUAUUGUUAGGUGUUUGGGUUUGUGUGUUAGCCGGCUGCUACAGCAGGGUUUUAUACUAAAGCAUGAAUCCCAAGUCAAGUUCAAUAGCAUGAACUACUCUCCCAUCAUACUAGAUAGCCUGCUAAUAAAACAAAAGAGAAAUACAUGUCUAUAGCUUGUUCUCUGCAAGCUCAGGCAGCAGUUAAACUCAGGCAACUUGUUUCAUGAUGGCUCUGAUAUACUCACACAUCUCCAGGACCAGCCCUGAGAUCUUAAUCUGGCCCUGAUGCCUUGAAGGUCUCACAAUGACAGGAUUCUCAGCCAGUGUCAGUCUCCAGCAGCAGUGAUGUGGACUGGCAGUAACAAGGGACACCAGAUGGGACACUCUAUGAACCGGAGCUUGUGCAGAGGAGGCUAGCUAGUUUCCAUAGGUACUAGCCUUCUUGAGGAGCAAGGGUGCUGUGGUGUGUUGGUAUUGGUUGUGAGCUAUUGUAAUAAAGUGGCUGUAUUCCAAGGAAGUUAUUUCUCACCUUUAUUUCCUGUGAACUUAAUGGGAAAGAUUUUAUAAAUAAUUAUGGCUUUGUCAAUUUAAGAUAUGAAUUAAAAUGCUAUGUAUUGUUUUCAAA